UACGUAGGGUGCGAGCGUUAAUCGGAAUUACUGGGCGUAAAGCGUGCGCAGGCGGUUCGUUGUGUCUGAUGUGAAAGCCCCGAGCUCAACUUGGGAAUGGCAUUGGAAACUGGCGAGCUAGAGUGUGGCAGAGGGGGGUGGAAUUCCGCGUGUAGCAGUGAAAUGCGUAGAGAUGCGGAGGAACACCGAUGGCGAAGGCAGCCCCCUGGGCUAGCACUGACGCUCAGGCACGAAAGCGUGGGGAGCAAACAGG
RNAcentral lists this ribosomal RNA (253 nucleotides) under uncultured bacterium. RNAcentral's name for it is "partial 16S ribosomal RNA". It matches the Rfam family "Bacterial small subunit ribosomal RNA", at positions 524 to 776 of the family's 1533-position model. The record is from RNAcentral.